AGGACGAACGCUGGCGGCGUGCUUAACGACAUGCAAGUGGAGCGACGAACCGGGGCUUGCCCCGGGGCAGAGCCGCGAACGGGUGAGUAACACGUGGGUUACCUGCCUUGAUGACCGGGACAACCCGAGGAAACUCGGGCUAAUACCGGAUGUGCCCGCAAGGGGAAAGGAAGCUUCGGCCUCCGCAUCAAGAUGGGCCCGCGGCCCAUUAGCUUGUUGGUGAGGUAACGGCUCACCAAGGCUUCGAUGGGUAGCUGGUCUGAGAGGACGAUCAGCCACACUGGGACUGAGACACGGCCCAGACUCCUACGGGAGGCAGCAGUGGGGAAUCUUGCGCAAUGCGCGAAAGCGUGACGCAGCAACGCCGCGUGGGGGAAGAAGGCUUUCGGGUGUAAACCCCUUUCAGUUGGGACGAAGCUUCUCCGGUGAAUAGCCGGACGGAGUGACGGUACCUUCACAAGAAGCACCGGCUAACUACGCGCCAGCAGCCGCGGUAA
This 497-nucleotide ribosomal RNA is filed under the name uncultured bacterium. RNAcentral describes it as "SSU rRNA". It matches the Rfam family "Bacterial small subunit ribosomal RNA", at positions 26 to 523 of the family's 1533-position model. The record is from RNAcentral.